RNAcentral lists this long non-coding RNA (686 nucleotides) under Ananas comosus (pineapple). Its description in RNAcentral is "long non-coding RNA (ACOM_LNC042378)". Lineage: Eukaryota; Viridiplantae; Streptophyta; Magnoliopsida; Poales; Bromeliaceae. The record is from RNAcentral.
CACCUUUCCUGUAUCAUUUAUCUUAUAUUUUCAACUGGGACAAUUACUUGUAUAUUCCUGAAAAGUUUCUGAAUUUCAUAUUUACUUUUUUCAGAAAAUUAAUAUUAAAAAUAUUUUUUAAGAUUCAAAAAUUUUUGAAUAUAUCUCUAGAAUUAAAUUUUGUUAGUAAACUGUUAGGUAAACUAAUAUUAAAAAUACAUUUUUAAUUUUCCAAAGUCUUUCAAACAUACACCUAGAGUUAAAUUUUAUUAGUGAGCUGAUAGAAAGGGUCGUUAUCUCUGUAAAAUUAUCAUUUUACCCUUUCAUAUAUAUAUCCUUCGACAGUCAGUAACUUUUCUUAUUUGCCCUUAACUUAUGAGUAAAAGAAAGUAUAUUGACUUUUUGCCUUUUCAAAUAUACUCUUCUAUUGUUAUCAAUUUUUUUUAUUUGCCCUUAAAUUAGGGACAAAAUAGGUGCUUUUAUUAUUUUUUUAAUUAUGGUGGAAAUUUAACUCGGAUUUAUCUCAAGAUAGUUUAAUAGAAACUAACAACAUGGAUAUUUUUUAAUGAGAGAGAAAUAUACGAGGGGUAUAUUUGAAACAAAAAAAAAAGUAAGAAUAAAUGAAAUAUUUCAAAAAUUUUGAAGGGUAUAUAGGCGAUUAUCCCUUUCAAUUAAAUCAACCGUUCUCUUUUUUAUUAAAAAAAAAA